UACGUAGGUGGCAAGCGUUGUCCGGAUUUAUUGGGCUUAAAGGGUGCGUAGGCGGCUUUAUAAGUCAGCGCUGAAAUAUCCCGGCUUAACCGGGAGGGUGGCAUUGAUACUGCAGAGCUUGAGUGAAGUCGAGGUAGGCGGAAUUGACGGUGUAGCGGUGAAAUGCUUAGAUAUCGUCAAGAACACCGAUAGUGAAGACAGCUUACUAGACUUCAACUGACGCUGAGGCACGAAAGUGUGGGGAUCAAACAGG
This 253-nucleotide ribosomal RNA is filed under the name uncultured bacterium. RNAcentral's name for it is "partial 16S ribosomal RNA". It matches the Rfam family "Bacterial small subunit ribosomal RNA", at positions 524 to 776 of the family's 1533-position model. The record is from RNAcentral.